CGAUUUUAAUAUCUUAAAUAUCUUAAUUUGUGUUCCGAAGAUGAACAAAGGUCUUGCGGGGUUGGAACAACAUGAGGGUGAGUAAAUACUGACAGAAUUUGCAUUUUUGGGUGAACUAACCCUUUAAUGCAGUACUACUUAUUACUUCCUGCAUAGCUACUUGUUAACUACGGACCAUUAUUUUAAAGUGUUAACGAAAAUCCUCAAGACCUUAUCAAGGAGUACCUUGAUAAGCAGCGAGAUGAUUGGGAGGGUGAGCUGGAGCAGUUCACCAUGGCGGUGUAUGUUAUUCGGAAGGAGGGGGGAGAACAUCACGAACCACCGGCUGACAUAGGUGUCGUCAUCGAGGGUGUUAAAGUUUUGAAUGAACUGCCUUCGUUCACAUCAGCUUGUGCCUUGCUUCUCGGGAUGAUAUACAUCAUCAAUCUGGCUUACCCAAAACCGCUUCGUUUUACUUUCGAGGUAUUCCAGAAAGUUCUCUUGCAGCUU
Molecule: non-coding RNA, 489 nt
Organism: Pimephales promelas (fathead minnow)
Lineage: Eukaryota; Metazoa; Chordata; Actinopteri; Cypriniformes; Leuciscidae
Source: RefSeq, a predicted model, not a curated record